This 941-nucleotide ribosomal RNA is filed under the name uncultured bacterium. RNAcentral's name for it is "bacterial SSU rRNA". It matches the Rfam family "Bacterial small subunit ribosomal RNA", at positions 534 to 1500 of the family's 1533-position model. The record is from RNAcentral.
GGGGUUUUUCCGGGGAAUUACUGGGCGUAAAGAGUUGCGUAGGUGGCAGAGUAAGUUGGUAGUGAAAGCGUGCGGCUCAACCGCAUAUCCAUUACCAAAACUGCUCAGCUAGAGGACGAGAGAGGUACCUGGAAUUCCUAGUGUAGGAGUGAAAUCCGUAGAUAUUAGGAGGAACACCGAUGGCGUAGGCAGGGUACUGGCUCGUUCCUGACACUAAGGCACGAAAGCGUGGGUAGCAAACGGGAUUAGAUACCCCGGUAGUCCACGCCGUAAACGAUGGAUGCUAGCUGUAUUCGGUAUCGACCCCGGAUGUAGCGAAGCUAACGCGUUAAGCAUCCCGCCUGUGGAGUACGGUCGCAAGACUAAAACAUAAAGGAAUUGACGGGGACCCGCACAAGCGGUGGAGCGUGUUGUUUAAUUCGAUGGUAAGCGAAGAACCUUACCCAGGUUUGACAUCCUUGGAAUCUUUCCGAAAGGAAAGAGUGCUUUUAGAGCCAAGUGACAGGUGUUGCAUGGCCGUCGUCAGCUCGUGUCGUGAGAUGUUUGGUUAAGUCCAUUAACGAGCGCAACCCUUGUGAUUAGUUGAAUUUUUCUAAUCAGACUGCCCUGGCAACAGGGAGGAAGGAGGGGAUGAUGUCAGGUCAGUAUUACCCUUACAUCUGGGGCUACAAACACGCUACAAUGGCCGGUACAAAGGGCAGCCAAGUCGCGAGACGGAGCAAAUCCCAUCAAAGCCGGUCCCAGUUCGGAUAGCAGGCUGAAACUCGCCUGCUUGAAGUCGGAAUCGCUAGUAACGGUAGGUCAGCUAUACUACCGUGAAUACGUUCCCGGGUCUUGUACACACCGCCCGUCAAACCAUGAAAGUCGCCAAUACCUGACGUGCCAGCUUGCCUGGCCCCAAGGUAGGGGAGAUGAUUGGGGUUAAGUCGUAACAAGGUAAC